Molecule: ribosomal RNA, 600 nt
Filed under: uncultured bacterium
Lineage: Bacteria
Description: bacterial SSU rRNA
Rfam family: Bacterial small subunit ribosomal RNA
Source: RNAcentral
CCCCGCCCGUGUCGGAGCUAACGCGUUAAGUGUGCCGCCUGGGGAGUACGGCCGCAAGGUUAAAACUCAAAGAAAUUGACGGGGGCCCGCACAAGCAGAGGAGCAUGUGGCUUAAUUCGAUGCAACGCGAAGAACCUUACCAGGGUUUGACAUGGACCUGCACGGCCUAUGAAAGUAGGCCUCCUUCGAGGGUGGUUCACAGGUGCUGCAUGGCUGUCGUCAGUUCGUGCCGUGAGGUGUUUGGUUAAGUCCAGCAACGAACGCAACCCCUGUGUCCAGUUGCCAGCGCGUAAUGGCGGGAACUCUGGACAGACUGCCUGUUUACACAGGAGGAAGGUGGGGAUGACGUCAAGUCAGUAUGGCCCUUACAUCCUGGGCUGCACACGUGCUACAAUGGCCGGUACAAAGGGAAGCGAGGCCGCGAGGCGGAGCCAAUCCCCAAAACCGGCCCCAGUUCAGAUUGGGGUCUGCAACCCGACCCCAUGAAGUCGGAUUUGCUAGUAACGGCGCAUCAGCUACGGCGCCGUGAAUACGUUCCCGGGCCUUGUACACACCGCCCGUCACAUCAUGAAAGCCGUCUGCACCCGAAGGCAGCCCCGC